AUGAACGCUGGCGGCGUGCCUAAUACAUGCAAGUCGAGCGCACGGACGAGAAGCUUGCUUCUCUGAUGUUAGCGGCGGACGGGUGAGUAACACGUGGAUAACCUACCUAUAAGACUGGGAUAACUUCGGGAAACCGGAGCUAAUACCGGAUAAUAUUUUGAACCGCAUGGUUCAAAAGUGAAAGACGGUCCUGCUGUCACUUAUAGAUGGAUCCGCGCUGCAUUAGCUAGUUGGUAAGGUAACGGCUUACCAAGGCAACGAUGCAUAGCCGACCUGAGAGGGUGAUCGGCUACACUGGAACUGAGACACGGUCCAGACUCCUACGGGAGGCAGCAGUAGGGAAUCUUCCGCAAUGGGCGAAAGCCUGACGGAGCAACGCCGCGUGAGUGAUGAAGGUCUUCGGAUCGUAAAACUCUGUUAUUAGGGAAGAACAUAUGUGUAAGUAACUGUGCACAUCUUGACGGUACCUAAUCAGAAAGCCACGGCUAACUACGUG
Molecule: ribosomal RNA, 496 nt
Filed under: uncultured bacterium
Lineage: Bacteria
Description: partial 16S ribosomal RNA
Rfam family: Bacterial small subunit ribosomal RNA
Source: RNAcentral